GACGAACGCUGGCGGCGUGCUUAACACAUGCAAGUCGAACGGUAAGGCCCUUCGGGGUACACGAGUGGCGAACGGGUGAGUAACACGUGGGUGAUCUGCCCUGCACUUCGGGACAAGCCUGGGAAACUGGGUCUAAUACCGGAUAGGACUCCUGGCUUCCUGGUUGGGGGUGGAAAGCUUUUGCGGUGUGGGAUGGGCCCGCGGCCUAUCAGCUUGUUGGUGGGGUAAUGGCCUACCAAGGCGACGACGGGUAGCCGGCCUGGGAGGGUGACCGGUCAAACUGGGACUGAGAUACGGCCCAGACUCCUACGGGAGGCAGCAGUGGGGAAUAUUGCACAAUGGGCGCAAGCCUGAUGCAGCGACGCCGCGUGAGGGAUGACGGCCUUCGGGUUGUAAACCUCUUUCAGCUAUGACGAAGCGCAAGUGACGGUAGUAGCAGAAGAAGGACCGGCCAACUACGUGCCAGCCGCCGCGGUAA
RNAcentral lists this ribosomal RNA (478 nucleotides) under uncultured bacterium. RNAcentral's name for it is "partial 16S ribosomal RNA". It matches the Rfam family "Bacterial small subunit ribosomal RNA", at positions 28 to 523 of the family's 1533-position model. The record is from RNAcentral.